CCAAGCUCUAAGCACUCCACAGUGACUCCUUCAGCUACCUUCAUGGUCAUUGGGACAAACUGUUCUCAUCUACCUAUUCUGCUGGGAGAAAUCUUCAUAUGCUUCAGCCCUUCAGGUAUUUGAAGACAAUCACAGAACUACAAAGUUGCAAGAAUUCUUGGUGAUUAUCUAAUCCAACACAUAUAUGAAUGGGAACCUCUAUGAUGAUGCUGAUGGUAACUGCCAUUUAAAUAAUACUUUAAAAUUUGCAAAGUGUUUUAUCUAUGUUGUAUUAUUUCAUUAAAAUCCCUGUGAGGCUUAUGUUUUUUAUAUCCCUAUUUUACAGAUUAAGAAACUUGUCCUAAGUAACUCAGCUCAGAUUAGGCUCUUAGGGUCAGGGUUUCCCGACUUCAAAUCAGCAUUCUACUAAUUGUGCCACCUAGCUGUCUUAUAUUGACAAAUAACCAUUUACCUGUCACUUAAAACCCCUCAGUGACUGGGAACUCAUUGCCCCCAAAAGCCAUCCAUUCCAUUUUUGGACCACUCUAAUUGAAUUAAAAUUUGUGCUAACAUAAACUGAAAUUUUAUAUAAGGGAGCAAGUGUUCUUUCUUAAGUGCAUCUUGCUUGCAGGUGCUAAUAGCACUAAUCUACUGACAUCUUAUACACUAAAUAUUUAAUUUCUCAACCUGUAGGUCACUACUUGUUUUACUUCAUUUCUCUGAGCUUCAUCUCUUAUAGUCCCUGCAUCACUGCCACAUAAUUUCUUGCCUACUAGACCUACGGCAUGAACAGUUAACUUUUCAAGGCUGCGGUUGUCUCAUCUGCAAAAUGAGAAGCUUACAUCAGAUGACUUCUUAGGUGCCUUCCAACUCUAAUUAUAUGAUUGUUCUAAAUCUACCAGAUACUUCCUGUCUCAACCAAUUCCUGAUUUUGACUCCUCUUGGCCAGACUAAUCUUGCUGCCACCUAUACGCUAUCAUGGUAACUCAUCACAUGCACAAUGGAGAGUGGGGGACCCAAUGUUACCUGGUUAACUCAAGAAGUUCUGUCACUGGGGUGGAAGAGAAAUUGCUAACUACUCAACUAAUACAGAAUAGGAAAAGGAAGGAAAACAGAAUAUUUAGGUGAAGGUCAAAUUACAUGAGUGUGCCACGUACAUGGAAAAUCUAGGCCCAAGGCUGAACCUUUCAUUGUUGUUAAUUGGUAGAGUAUCCCCUUUUCAAGUCCCAAAUCAAUGUGUGGUCCUACUCAGAAAGGAAUAUUGAAUAAAAUGUUGUCAC
Trichosurus vulpecula (common brushtail) is the source of this 1259-nucleotide long non-coding RNA. RefSeq lists it as uncharacterized. The transcript is spliced from 2 exons. Lineage: Eukaryota; Metazoa; Chordata; Mammalia; Diprotodontia; Phalangeridae. The record is from RefSeq and is a predicted model, not a curated record.